This 1090-nucleotide long non-coding RNA is filed under the name Gopherus agassizii (Agassiz's desert tortoise). RNAcentral describes it as "lncRNA (ENSGAGG00000022793.1)". The record is from RNAcentral. Lineage: Eukaryota; Metazoa; Chordata; Testudines; Testudinidae.
GGGGGGGCUCCCGGGGCAGGACGCGGUUGGCCCGUGCAGUAUUUGGCGGGGGAAGGGCGGCGUUGCCGGGUCCUUUGCUUGUCCAGCUGCAGAGCGCGGGGCGGGGGAUGGAGCCCGGGGGCCCCCAGGCGGGGCUGAGAGGUGAUGGGAGGGGGAGUCUCUGGUGUCCGCCCCCCCCGUCCGUGCCAAGCGCUUGUGAGAAGCCGGUCUCAAAUCAUGGCGUUUGCACUGGUGCUUUGAAGAGGCCGUGGCUGAGCUGUCCCAGGAGCUGGGAAGACUGGCCCAGAACCUGCAGGCACUGGCCCAGUACCAGGCCACCCUCCUCAGCGUCAACAAGAGCCUGGUGAGGAGCUUCCUGCUGCCUCCCCUCCCUUUCCCCAGCUGAGGGUAGCCUGUGCAUACCCCACCUCCUCAGAUCAGCUUUGGGCCGCUAAAUACCACAUGCAGUUUAAUUUCCUAACAGGACCCUCAGGAGAGCAGGUUCUCCACAGGUGUGCUGGGCAGAGGCACAAGGCCAGCAGGCACCCAACAUGGCAGGGAUGGAAUUAUCUGUCCUGCUGCCCCCCUGACCCUCUCAUGGCUCUGCCACUACUUGUUGCGUGACCCUGGGUAAAUCACUCUGUUUCUCUGCCCCAGAGUUUGCCCAUUUGUUAACUAAAUCAUUGAUCCUGCCCUGGCAGCGAGGGGACUCUGGAAUUAUUGGUAGGAUUCUUCAGAGAUGCAAAUGUUACACAGCAAGUUACUCAGUUUCAGUUACCCCAAACUUGACUCUGUAAGCAAAGGGAGAUUCCACUGGGACUGGGCAAACAUCUCCCUCACAAAGAACCCAUCCACUGAGAGACAGAGAGCUGGUUUUCUUCCCCAUAAGCUGUCUCUUUCUCUGACUGGGUCAUUCCAGCACCCUGCAUUCCAUAGUGACUCCGACUAGGAGCCUAAACCCACAUUCUGCACAUCUUGAAAGUUAUAUCCCAAAUUAUCCUUCUGUGGGGUGGCUUUGGACUAGCUGCAGAUGAGGGAGAGUAAGAGACUGUGUGUUGGGACUUCACCUAACCCUAAUGAUGAAUGGAAAUAAAGACCACAGACCAAAGCA